ACACCCUGUGCUAGAAAACUGGCUGAGAAACUGCACUAUGAACUUUGUUUCUAACAAUUCUGCUGCUGCGCUUUGACUGAUGUUCCACCAACAAAUCAGAUCAUAGUUUGUACUUCUAAUUGCAGCCACUGUAACAGUAUCUUUACGCAGUCUUUCCAUUCCAUCUCAAGAGUGUCCUCCUAGCCUCGCCUUUUUCCUAUUUAAUAUCUCCUGCACAACCUCUUCAGAAAUAAUUGGUAGUUUGAAAUGAGCUGAACUUAUGCUGCAAGGGGAGAUUCUGGAGCACAGAUAUCGUGGGUGGGAUUUCCACGCCCAGUCUGUGGAGACAGCACAUAACCUGGGACACAGAAAGAAGAGUGAAGAAACAUCACCUAAAAUCCUUAGAAAAGGAAGAACCAGUGUAAAAGGAAUCGGUUCUAGAAUUUGCAUUCUCUAAACAUAAGUCAGACACUGAUGCAUCUCUUAACAUACUGCAUAUAAUGUGGAAAUCAAAGAUCAAUUGCUUUUUGCUUCUAUUGUAAUGCUAGCCCUAAGAUCUUCUAAAACUGUGAUGUAAGCUGUGCAGUGAUUUCCAUUUCUUUUUCCUGCAAAAGCUUCAAAAAACCCUUUGUGAACCAAGAUGAAUUACCACAGAGAACAUAAUUCUAAGAAGUUUUUCCAGUAUUAGAAUAAUCCCA
RNAcentral lists this long non-coding RNA (677 nucleotides) under Gallus gallus (chicken). RNAcentral describes it as "lncRNA (ENSGALG00010001607.1)". Lineage: Eukaryota; Metazoa; Chordata; Aves; Galliformes; Phasianidae. The record is from RNAcentral.